Molecule: long non-coding RNA, 3121 nt
Organism: Passer domesticus (house sparrow)
Lineage: Eukaryota; Metazoa; Chordata; Aves; Passeriformes; Passeridae
Exons: 2
Source: RefSeq, a predicted model, not a curated record
UGCAAGCAUUUUUCCUAAACUAAGCUGUGUUUAAAACCUUUGGUCAUGGCAAAUGUGCCUUCUCUGUCUGUGGCAGCCUGGCAGCCACUUGAUGAGCUAUGAGCUUGGUGAGUUAUUAGGUGGACAGAGAGAGGCCAGGGUGCUCACAGAAAUGAUGAGCUGCUCUCACCAGCAGUCUUUUGUGCCUUUGGGUUGUGCUACAGCCCUCUCACAGCCACUGUUCGGGCACUGCUUGCCCCCUACCCACUCUCCAUAGAGUUUUGUACUUCCCAGGAUGUUUCUCUGCCCAGUCUAUGGAUCAGUAACAUUCCGUCCCAUAUUUCCCCACAAACUGCUUGCCAUCUUAUGAGUUGUGAGCUACUGGCGCACAGUAAUUUAUGCAAGGACUACUUCUAAGAGCACCCAGAGCAAUUUGGGAAACAACCUGCUAAAAUCAAGAUCCUAAAUAUACAACACCAGUUGUCCGGAAAGAUAUAACAGUUCCAGCCUCACUGAUAUUCUCACAGUGCAAUUAAUCCUACUUAAUUAACUUCGGACAAGCCUUGGCGUGAAAGGUUGUUUCUUGAAUUACAGUAUCACUCAGGCAAUUUAUUGAACUGCAACAGGACACAAAGACUUAGAUUGCUUCUGGCUUCCCAAGGCAAGGUUUAUCAUGUGCUAGGAAAUUUAAGUCCUAAUUCCCACUUUUUCUAUAUUCCAGAUUUUCAAAAGUGUUGUGUCUGGUUUGAGCUGAGCUCUGACACUUGAUAGCCUGCAGUAACAGCUUCUAAUUAGUGCCACUCGCUCCUGAACAAAACAGUGAGAGCAGGGUACAUGGGUGGUCAUUCUGGAAUGCUUCACAGCACAUGCACAGCCAUGAACAUUAAAGUCUGUAUCAGUUUUUCCUUUGCUUCCCACUGCACACCUUUGUGUCAACACCUCAGCUGGUGCACAUGGAUGGGAUAACCCAGGUCGGGCCAGAUGCCCGACAAGGGGUCACCUCUGGCCAAGAGCGCUGAGACCUCCCAGCUGAGAAUGAACCUCUUGGUCUGGACAGCAGAUGUAGAGAGAGAUAAAAAUUAAAUAUCAUUGACCAAAAGACACUGCUUUACAAUAUAUAAUCUACACAAAUUUCCAUGGAAACAGAAGCCUCCUACACACUUUCUGGAAAUGUGCAGGGCUUCCCCCAUGAUGUUUGGAGGCAUCUCCAUGGAUACUUUUCCAGAAGCUGAGGGGAAGGGUCCUGUGUAUGCUCCACCAGAAACUGAAUGACAGAGAUGACUUCAGACCAAUACUUCUAAGGAUGAACCCAAUGUACUUGUCCCAGACUGCAUGGUAAGAUGUAUUCCAUUUGCCAUCUGUAUGGCAGUUGUCUUCUGUUAAGUGAGCAAUUGUCCUUAUCUCUUCCACACCCACUCCUCCCUCCAGGGGGACAUCUGCUAUGGAAUGUCACUGCAUGACUGAUAAGAGCUACAGCAUCCCAUUGUGAGAUGCUCGGCCCAGAGGGAGGAGCCAAGCAUUCCAACCUGGAUAUAAUCUUGUGAUUCUGGACACCAGCAUGGCUUUCUCCACUGGAUUUCCCAUAGGAACAGCAGCUGCUUCUUCUUCACUGAUCUUGAGAGGAAGACUACACCCUUUUCUACAGGAUCCCUGCUCCAACAGAACCACACCUGACACUCCAGGAGAACUGCAGCCACAUUUCCAAUUGGACUGCUACCAACACCGUGACCAACAGGGUGUCAGGUUGUGUUCUGACUCUGUCAGUGUUGUUUUUGUUUACUGCAUUCUUUAUUUUAUCCUUUUCUUUUCCUCCCUAUUAAAGAACUGUUAUUUCCUGCUUCAAUAUUUGUUGCCUGAGAGCCCCUUAAUUUGAAAUUGAUAGCAAUUUGGAGGGGGGGUGGGGUAUUCACAUUCUCCAUUUCAGGGGAGCCUCCUGCCUUCCUUAGCAGGCACCUGUAUUUCCAAACCAAGACAGUACUCUUUAUUUUCCCCAGUCAUGCAGUUUUUCUCAUAACUUGUUAUUUUGAUUUGAAAAGUCUUUUCAAGACAGCUUUCAUGUCUCAACAGAGAUGGAAAACUGGUGGCCAGUCUCUUCUUUUUUCCAUAGAAAAUAUUAUCUUAAAGACCAGCCUAGGUACAGUGAACCAUGCCUGGUGAUUGGGAAAUCCACCAGAGGUAUCUCACAUUUCCCUCUUGCCUGUUUGUUGUAUGAGUACAGUAUGAUACAAUUUCAGCCUGUCAGAAUCUUACAAAGAUAAAAACAAAUGCAUAUGCUUGUGUGCAUUUGCAAUAUUGCCAGAUUUUAGGCAGAGGGUAGAAGAGAAACGCAAUGUCAAAAUUUUGAUAAACAGGACUUGUCUGCCAUGGGCGCAGUUGGAAAGAAAGAGAUCAAAAAUCUUGGGCUUGACUUUCAUCCAAGUCUCAUUUGGCAGCAAUGUGUGGCUUCCGUAGAGGCAGAGCAGAGACUGGAAUCCACUACUUGACCAGGCUGACACUUGUUUAUAAGACUCACAACUGCUUUGCGAGCCAACGGUUUCUUAUGGUAAUCAGAGGACUGCUUUAAUUAAAUGGUGUUUUACCAUGCUCCAAAAUUACUUCAGCAUUCCUGGCUAUUCAUUAGAUCCAUUACCAAUGGGAACAUUUUGCUGCUACACAUUCCCUCAUAUCCCUCACAGUUGGUAGACUGCUGCUGCAGGAGGUGUGGCAGGAGAAGAUUGCUUCCUUUCAGCUCUAUUAAAGGUUUUCCAAAUUAAAAUCAAUGAGAAGACAUUUGAAAGAAAGAUGGAGAGUUAAAUAUUUUUUUUUCCUUUUACUUCCUUUUUUAAGCUUCAAGCUGGUAAGUGAUAAUCUGUGCAAACAAGAUAUUAGAAAUUUGGCACAUCCCAUCUACCACAACAUAUUGAUUCCUUCUACAAAAGGCACUAAAUACUGGCAUAAACCAAGAAAUGAUCAGCAGAAUGCAGUUCUUGUGUGACACACAAAAAUCCUGCUAACUGGCACAGCUUCAUAGUACAAUUUUCAGUUACCUAAAAUGGUGGUGAUAAUAGCAGCAAUGGUUAGGAUUUUUACAAGUACCACGUAUACAUACAAAUGUCAGAACAUCUAGAGGACAUGCAAAAUUUCAAGAGCAACAUCACCGAAU